This 595-nucleotide long non-coding RNA is filed under the name Prunus persica (peach). RNAcentral's name for it is "long non-coding RNA (PPER_LNC007786)". Lineage: Eukaryota; Viridiplantae; Streptophyta; Magnoliopsida; Rosales; Rosaceae. The record is from RNAcentral.
AUUAAUGUUAAAAAAUGAAUGAACUUGUUUGACUUAUACAUUUUCACUAGAAUAUUUGAAGAAGAAACCAUAAAAAGAAGAAAAAAAAAUAAAAUUAGCCCACCCCAAUAUAAAUUCAUCUUUCCGCCCUUGACAAUAACCACAAGGGGUUAAUCCCAAUAUGGAAGAGUUCACUAGCAACAACAAACGCACAAGGUGUACCUCCGCUCAUAAUCUACAUGUACUUUCUUUGCUAAUGUUGACGAGAGAAAAAAUAAAAUAAAAAGACCGUCACAAGACCUUAAAGUAGUAUGUACCUCCGCUCAUAAUCUACAUAUACUUAAGUAUUCAAAUUUAAAAUGAAAAAAAAAACGUAUUCAAAUUAAAAUAUAUUUUGGCCUUAGUAUUUUAAUUCGUAUCAAAUUUUAUUUCAUUUGCUUGAUUGAAAUGACCUUUUUAUUCUUACACGCGGUGCACACAGAGGACUCAAUUGAACAUAUAUAUACUAUGGACACAAACCACAAGACGCAUAAGGAGCAUCUGUGCAAUUUAUUCAAUUUCAUAUUUUCAGUUUUAGUUUGAAUUACAGGAGAAAAGUGGACCAUUCCCACCCCUG